This 1168-nucleotide ribosomal RNA is filed under the name marine metagenome. RNAcentral describes it as "bacterial SSU rRNA". It matches the Rfam family "Bacterial small subunit ribosomal RNA", at positions 333 to 1520 of the family's 1533-position model. The record is from RNAcentral.
AGACUCCUACGGGAGGCAGCAGCAAGGAAUUUUGGGCAAUGGGCGAAAGCCUGACCCAGCGACGCCGCGUGGGGGAGGAAGGCCUUCGGGUCGUAAACCCCUUUUCUCAGGGAAGAAUACUGACGGUACCUGAGGAAUAAGCCUCGGCUAACUACGUGCCAGCAGCCGCGGUAAUACGUAGGAGGCAAGCGUUAUCCGGAUUUACUGGGCGUAAAGCGCGCGUAGGCGGCUUUGCAAGUCGAAUGUAAAAUCUCCCGGCUUAACUGGGAGAGGUCAGGGGAUACUACCCGGCUUGAGGGCAGUAGAGGAGAGUGGAAUUCCCGGAGUAGCGGUGAUAUGCGUAGAUACCGGGAGGAACACCCGUGGCGAAAGCGGCUUUCUGGGCUGUCCCUGACGCUGAGGCGCGAAAGCAUGGGGAGCAAACCGGAUUAGAUACCCGGGUAGUCCAUGCCCUAAACGAUGAAUACUAGACCUAGGGGGUAUCGACCCCCUCUGGGUCGUAGCUAACGCGAUAAGUAUUCCGCCUGGGGAGUACGGCCGCAAGGCUAAAACUCAAAGGAAUUGACGGGGGCCCGCACAAGCAGCGGAGCGUGUGGUUUAAUUCGAUGCAAAACGAAGAACCUUACCAAGGCUUGACAUGCUGGAAGUAGUGAACCGAAAGGGGAUCGACCUGUUAAGUCAGGAGCCAGCACAGGUGCUACAUGGCUGUCGUCAGCUCGUGCCGUGAGGUGUUUGGUUAAGUCCUGCAACGAGCGCAACCCUUAUUGCUAGUUGUUUUUUCUAGCGAGACUGCCCCGCAAAACAGGGAGGAAGGUGGGGAUGACGUCAAGUCAGCACGGCCCUUAUGCCUUGGGCUACACACACGCUACAAUGGGUGGUACAGUAGGUUGCAAUGGAGCGAUCCGGAGCUAAUCCCUAAAGCCAUCCUCAGUUCGGAUUGCAGGCUGAAACUCGCCUGCAUGAAGUCGGAGUUGCUAGUAAACGCGUAUCAGCAUGGCGCGUUGAAUACGUUCUCGGGCCUUGUACACACCGCCCGUCACGUCAUGAAAGUCGGCAACACCUGAAGUCGAUGGGCUAACCCCGACUUGUCGGGGGGGCAGUCGCCGAGGGUGGGGCUGGUGAUUGGGACGAAGUCGUAACAAGGUAGCCGUAGCGGAAGCUGCGGCUG